Long non-coding RNA from Cucumis sativus (cucumber), 1099 nucleotides. RefSeq lists it as uncharacterized. The record is from RefSeq and is a predicted model, not a curated record. Lineage: Eukaryota; Viridiplantae; Streptophyta; Magnoliopsida; Cucurbitales; Cucurbitaceae. The transcript has 6 exons.
CAAUGCAGCAAGGAGCAGCUGGCAAACAAAUUUCUUUAUGCCAUAAAUGCGGAUGCUGGUUUUGAUCUAAGCUAAUGGAUGUUGUUGUUUUACCCUUCUUCUUGUUGAUAUACCUUUCGUAGCAUCCUUUCAUCCCUAAUCUCAUCCUCGACCACAACCACUGCUUUGACCACGAUCGUCUCUCCGAAGAUUUGUGAGACAGUUCCAUUAGGUUAUGGGCACUAAGUGGUGAAACAUUGAUGGAGAUGGUUGGUGACACUUCCAUUGUGUAUUCAGUGGAUUCACAUGCUUCCGAAGUCAUUGUUAGUGGGAGUGAAGAUUGUUCGGCAAAGAUAUGGAAAGAUGGAAUUUGUGUCUAGAGCAUUGAGCAUCCUGGUUGCGUUUGGGAUGCCAAGUUUUUGGAAAAUGGAGAUAUUGUCACAGCUUGUUUAGAUGGAGUAGUACGUGUCUGGACGGCAGAACAGGAAAGAAUUGCUGAUCCCCAAGAAUUGGAGUUAUUUGCUUCAAGACUGUCUCAGUAUAAGUUGAAGAGGUGCCCCACAACAGCUGCCACACACACACACACACACUCACAAAGAGGAAGUUCCAAAAUCCUUUGGAAGAGGGUUGGAGGAUUGAAAUUGGAAGAAUUACCUGGGAUGGAUGCUUUACAAAUUCCAGGCUGUACUGGAGCUUGUCAUAAUCUUCCCAUGUUGCCUCAUGAGGAGGGAGACCUUGCCAUUUAAUCAAAACCUCACAGCUUCCUCUUUUAUUCUUCGAGUACCCAAAUAUUUCCUCCGGUAUAGAUUUACUCGUGAGUUUCAGUAACGUAAGGCAGCAUGUCUGUCUGUACAAGUUGAUGAUCACCAACCAUUUUUUUGAGUUGGGACACAUGAAACACUGGAUGGAUGGAAGCGGAUGCUGGCAACUCUAGCUUAUACGCAACCAGUAUGAUGCGUUCCACAAUCGUAUAAGGCCCAAAGAACUUGGGGGAUAGUUUCUCAUUUUUCUUUUGUCGUAAUGAGAUCUGUCUAUAGGGCCUAAUCUUCAGGAAGACCAUAUCGCCAACUGCAUACUCCACAUCAUGACGCUUCAAGUCUACGUUAUUUUUCAUCUUGUC